This 85-nucleotide transfer RNA is filed under the name Felis catus (domestic cat). It matches the Rfam family "tRNA". From Rfam's summary of the family: Transfer RNA (tRNA) molecules are approximately 80 nucleotides in length. Their secondary structure includes four short double-helical elements and three loops (D, anti-codon, and T loops). Lineage: Eukaryota; Metazoa; Chordata; Mammalia; Carnivora; Felidae. The record is from Rfam by way of RNAcentral.
GCCUGGGUGGCUCAGUUGGUUGAGCAUCUGACUUUGGCUCAGGUCAUGACCUCAUACUUCACGGGUUCAAGCCCCAUAUCGGGCU